Molecule: ribosomal RNA, 465 nt
Filed under: Triticum aestivum (bread wheat)
Lineage: Eukaryota; Viridiplantae; Streptophyta; Magnoliopsida; Poales; Poaceae
Description: partial small subunit ribosomal RNA
Source: RNAcentral
AUGGGUCAUGUUCAUGCACCAGAGAGCUGUUCGUCGUGCUGGGAGACCUUUGAUCCGCUAUGGUCCAUUGUUUCCCGGGAACAGGAGAGGAUCCAAAAUCUGAACUACAUCUACAACUGCAAUGACGUCGAGGCUCUGUGGAUGCUUCGAAUGAAAAGAGCACCAUUUGCCAGGCCUGUCGAGACCUUCAGGACCGGGGGGCUGCUACAAGAUAGCAUCAACACCAGUGUGGAAGAGCAAGUGGCCAUGUUCCUCCAUGUUGUUGGCCAUAAUCAGAGGUUCAUGGUCAUUCACAACAUGUUCAGGAGAUCAAUGGAGACCAUCUCUAGGUACUUCAAGCAAGUGCUUUUUGCUAUUGGGGAGCUUAGAGGAGAGAUGAUCAGGAGACCAUCUGGUCAGACUCCACCCAAGAUUCGCGGAAGCCCAAGAUGGUAUCCAUACUUCAAGGAUUGCAUUGGGGCAAUA